RNAcentral lists this ribosomal RNA (582 nucleotides) under uncultured bacterium. RNAcentral describes it as "bacterial SSU rRNA". It matches the Rfam family "Bacterial small subunit ribosomal RNA", at positions 102 to 694 of the family's 1533-position model. The record is from RNAcentral.
ACGGCGUAGUAAUGCAUCGGAACGUGCCCUCUGGUCGGGGAUAGCUACGGGAAACUGUAGGUAAUACCCGAUGAUCUCUGCGGAGCAAAGGUGAGAUUCCGCCGGAGGAGCGGCUGAUGUGAUAUUAGCUAGUUGGUGGGGUAAUGGCCCACCAAGGCGAUGAUGUCUAGGGGGUGUGAGAGCAUGGCCCCCACGACCGGAACUGAGAUACUGUCCGGACACCUACGGGUGGCUGCAGUCGAGAAUCUUCCGCAAUGGACGAAAGUCUGACGGAGCGACGCCGCGUGCGGGAUGAAGGCCCUUGGGUUGUAAACCGCUGUCAGAGGGGAUGAAAUCUUCGGAGGUACUCCUCCGAAGUUGACAGAGCCUCAAAGGAAGCACGGGCUAAGUACGUGCCAGCAGCCGCGGUAACACGUACUGUGCGAACGUUAUUCGGAAUCACUGGGCUUAAAGGGUGCGUAGGCGGCGAAUCAAGUCAGGUGUGAAAGGCCUGAGCUCAACUGAGGCAUUGCGCUUGAAACUGAUUUGCUUGAGUAUCCCAGGGGUGUGCGGAACUGCCAGUGGAGCGGUGAAAUGUGUUGA